Molecule: ribosomal RNA, 398 nt
Filed under: uncultured bacterium
Lineage: Bacteria
Description: bacterial SSU rRNA
Rfam family: Bacterial small subunit ribosomal RNA
Source: RNAcentral
AUUGAACGCUGGCGGCGUGCUUAACACAUGCAAGUCGUGCGGUAACAGGCGUAGCAAUACGUGCUGACGAGCGGCGAACGGGUGCGUAAUACAUGGGAAUCUGCCUUUUAGUGGGGAAUAACCCGGCGAAAGCCGGGGCUAAUGCCGCAUAAGAUCUUCGGAUGAAAGCGGGGGAUCGUAAGACCUCGCGCUGAUAGAUGAGCCCAUGCCGGAUUAGCUAGNGGUGAGGUAACGGCUCACCAAGGCGACGAUCCGUAGCUGGUCUGAGAGGACGGCCAGCCACACUGGGACUGAGACACGGCCCAGACUCCUACGGGAGGCAGCAGUGGGGAAUAUUGGACAAUGGGGGAAACCCUGAUCCAGCGACGCCGCGUGUGUGAAGAAGGCCUGCGGGUUGU